AGCGAGCGGCGGACGAGGAGAGCCAUCUUGAGGAGGUUAGCGGAGGGGAGGCAGGCGGGGCAGCCUCACACCUCACACCUGCUCUCUCUCCCUCCCUCCGUGAUGCAGUGUUUCGGCGCCACACAGACACGCUGCCUCGGCCGAAUGAGGGAACGCUGUGCCGGCGCCGGCGCUGCCAAACCUCAGGUGAGGUGGCCAGCCAGCAGGAGACAGUAACAGUGGCAGCUCAGGAAUCAAGACUAUCAGCAGCAGCAGAGGCAGGAUGACCCAAGACUUACUCUGCCCAGGACCAAGAAUUAUAGUAACAGUAGCCGUGGUAGUAGUAGUAGUAGUAGU
This is a long non-coding RNA of Eriocheir sinensis (Chinese mitten crab), 336 nucleotides long. RefSeq lists it as uncharacterized. The record is from RefSeq and is a predicted model, not a curated record. Lineage: Eukaryota; Metazoa; Arthropoda; Malacostraca; Decapoda; Varunidae. The transcript is spliced from 3 exons.